Molecule: RNA transcript, 3659 nt
Organism: Nycticebus coucang (slow loris)
Lineage: Eukaryota; Metazoa; Chordata; Mammalia; Primates; Lorisidae
Gene: ASH2L
Gene name: ASH2 like, histone lysine methyltransferase complex subunit
Exons: 15
Source: RefSeq, a predicted model, not a curated record
CUACUAUGCCCAGCUCCGCCUCUCUUCCAAUCUCUGAAAGCCACCUGGAAACGUGCCCCCGGCGCCAAACCACUGCGCAGGGGGGGCAAUUACACUCGGGGCGGGGUGGGGCAGGGGACUGCUUGUCUUUCUGGCAGACGUUCCCCACAGUCGGCGGUGAGGGUCGCUGCAGGACACACCAAAGCACCAACAGUCGGUGCGCAGCUCGCGCUCUGCGGGCGCCUCGUCUGCGCAGGGAUUUCCAGUCUUAACACCAAAAUGCGUUCAUCCCUGAAAUGAAGUCAGUCCUUAGAGGCAAUUAAACUAACGGCUCGAGCUGCCCUAGCCUUUAUCGCUCGCUGAGCUGCCGGUGGCCAUCCCCACCCAGCUCUCCUGCCGGCCGGACCUUAAAUUGGUCGCGGAGCGCGGAGUCCCCACCCAGGCUGUGGGCCCACAGCGGGCCUUUCCCGUUUGAAGAUUACUGCGCCUUUCUACAGUCCUUCCGCGAGACCUCGAUGGUAUUCUCGCGAGGAGUCUGAGGGCAGAAGUGAUGGCGGCGGCGGGGAGCGGACCUGGGCCGGGAGUGGUUGCUGGACCUGGCCCAGGAGCAGCCGCAAAUGCAACUACCACAGAAGAGGGGGAGACGAAGCCGGUGGCGGCGGUGGCAGCCGCUCCGGCUGGAGAGGGGACUUCGGCUGCUUCGGCAGCUGAGCCCAGUUCCGGAGAGGCUGAAGGCGGGGAUGCAAACAUGGUUGAUGUAAGUGGUGGUUUGGAGACAGAGUCCUCCAAUGGAAAAGAUACACUAGAAGGUGCUGGGGAUGCUUCAGAGGUGAUGGAUACUCAGGCCAACUCGGUGGAUGAAGAGAAUAGCCGACAGUUGGGAGAGGUAGAACUGCAAUGUGGGAUAUGUACAAAGUGGUUCACUGCGGACACCUUUGGCAUAGAUACCUCAUCCUGUCUGCCGUUCAUGACCAACUACAGUUUCCAUUGCAAUGUAUGCCAUCAUAGUGGUAAUACUUAUUUCCUCCGGAAGCAAGCAAACUUGAAGGAAAUGUGCCUUAGUGCUUUGGCCAACCUAACGUGGCAGUCCCGAACGCAGGAUGAACAUCCAAAAACCAUGUUCUCCAAAGACAAGGAUAUUAUACCAUUUAUUGAUAAAUACUGGGAAUGCAUGACGACCAGACAGAGACCUGGGAAAAUGACUUGGCCAAAUAACAUCGUUAAAACAAUGAGUAAAGAAAGAGAUGUAUUCUUGGUAAAGGAACACCCAGAUCCUGGGAGCAAAGACCCAGAAGAAGAUUACCCCAAAUUUGGACUUUUGGAUCAGGAUCUUAGUAAUAUUGGUCCUGCUUAUGACAACCAAAAACAAAGUAGUGCAGUGUCUACCAGUGGGAAUCUAAAUGGUGGAGCCACUUUUGGAGGGGGAAUUGCAGUGAGCAGCAGUGGAAAAGGAAGAGGAGCUAAGCGCAAACAACAGGAUGGAGGGACCACAGGGACCACCAAGAAGGCUCGGAGUGAUCCUUUGUUUUCUGCUCAGCGCCUUCCCCCUCAUGGCUAUCCCUUGGAACACCCAUUUAACAAAGAUGGCUAUCGGUAUAUUCUAGCCGAGCCGGAUCCCCAUGCCCCUGACCCUGAGAAGCUUGAACUUGACUGCUGGGCAGGAAAACCUAUUCCUGGAGACCUCUACAGAGCCUGCUUAUACGAACGGGUUUUGUUGGCCCUGCAUGACAGAGCUCCCCAGUUAAAGAUCUCUGAUGACCGGCUGACUGUGGUUGGAGAGAAGGGUUACUCUAUGGUGCGGGCCUCUCAUGGGGUACGGAAAGGUGCCUGGUACUUUGAAAUCACCGUGGAUGAGAUGCCACCAGACACUGCUGCCAGACUGGGUUGGUCCCAGCCCUUAGGUAAUCUUCAAGCUCCCUUAGGUUAUGAUAAAUUUAGCUAUUCUUGGCGGAGCAAAAAGGGAACCAAGUUCCACCAGUCCAUUGGGAAACACUACUCUUCUGGCUAUGGGCAGGGAGACAUCCUGGGAUUUUAUAUUAACCUUCCUGAAGACACAGAGACAGCCAAGUCAUUGCCUGAUACUUACAAAGAUAAGGCUUUAAUAAAGUUCAAGAGUUAUUUGUAUUUUGAAGAAAAAGACUUUGUGGAUAAAGCAGAGAAGAGCCUAAAGCAGACUCCCCAUAGUGAGGUGAGUUGUGGUCAUAAAAACAUCAGAAUUAUAAGGCUUGAAGAUCAGGACCCGCAUGUUAAUUAUAAAGGUGAGAAAAAUGCAGCCCAGAGAGAAUUGAAAGGAUUUUGUGGUAACACACCCAAGAGGCAGGCUCACUGUCCUGUCCCCUGUUCUGUGUUCUUUCUCUGGUUCCCUGCCACUGCUCGUGGAGGGACCUGCCCCUUCAGGACCUCUGGAGAAAGGGUGUAAGAACAGUGGCCUGAUGAGGAAAUCCACGAGAGAGAGGUAGCGAGUCACUCGUCUUUUUUCCAUGUCAGAGGAGGUGUGCAGUACAGAGGGAGGAACACUGGAGUAGGAGGGGAGACCCUCGGAGUUCUCCAGAACUUUCCCUGCUCUCUUUCCGAGAGUUGUUUGGAACAUGUCUGCCCAAGGUCAAAGCACAAAGAAAGGGCUGGCACAUCUGGGCCAGCCACAGGGGUCACAAAUAAAAGCAGGGAGAAAAUUCUGAGCUAGCAACAUUUUUUCAUAGAAAUGCUGUAAAGCCCCCUAGGACAGUAAUAGGAGGGAAUGUAGGAGAAAUGGAGUUGGGUGGGGUUUUUUGGUAGGGGGCGAACAGGCUGGGAGGACUGUAAAGGGAAACGGUUAGUAGAUCAAAGGAUGAUAGAUCCAGAAAAUAGAGCCAGGGAGAAGAUCAUUCUUAGGAAGAAAAAGGAGUCUUUCCUAGAGACCAAAUAUAUAGUGAUAAGGAAAACAUUCGGGAUAAUUAUGGGAGAGAAAGGACAAAGAAAAUGAAGAUUCAGAGACCAUGACAGAAAUUCUAAUAGAACGUCAAAGUAAAAAAGCAGAAUUAGUGUAAGGGCAAGCGAUCAAUAUGUAAAUAAGUUCAGACAGGUAGAGGUCCAAGGAAUCUGCGCCACCCUGGAUUACUUUUCAUAAUUACAAUGUAGUGAAUAAUAGAAUGUAGAACUGCUUGGUAUAUGUAGCAUAGAAACUCAGAAAGCAAAUAAGAAAUCCAGGGUCCAAUUGGAAUAGCGCAUUUAAACAUGUUUUGAAAAUCUCAAGUAUUGGCUUGGCGCCUACAGCUCAAGCAGCUGAGGUGCCAGCCACAUACACCAGAACUGGCAGGUUCCAAUUCAGCCUGGGCCCACCAAACAAGAAUGACAACUACAACCAGAAAGUAGCCGGCUAUUGUGGUGGGCACCUGUGAUUCCAGCUACUUGGGAGGCUGAGGCAAGAGAAUCACUUAAGCUCAGUUUGAGGUUGCUGUGAGCUAAGUUUGAGGUUGCUGUGAGCUGCGGCACCAUGGCAUUCUACAGAGGGCAACAGCUUGAGACUCUGACUCAAAAAAAGAAAAUCUAAAGUAUUAAAUAAUUUUAAAAUGUUAUUACAUAUGGUUUAUACUCUUCUUGGGAUACCAGUCUGGUAGCAUCACCUGUAAUGUGUUUUCUGAGGGAGUAUUUUCUGUUCUUUUGUUCUUUUUGUAAAUUUUGAAGUAAAGUUACGGUUUUUG